GAGAAUCGUUGUCUAUAGCCUUUCCUUUGUCCAUGCCUCAGUUGUUACUUGCAUUCCAAGGUGUACUACUUCUGGUACGAUUGCUCAGAGACAUCUUACGCUUGAUUUGUUGCUCCACUUGUACAGCCUUGUGAAGCAGUUCAUAUAGGCUGCUAUAGUUGGAUGUCUCCACUUUUCGGGCUAUAUGCUCUUGCAACCCGUCAAUGAAUUAAGACAUCAAUGACUCGCUGGAUUCUUCUAACUCCAAGGAGUUCAUGAGCUUCUCAAACUCCUCAAAAUACUCGUCCACGGUCCUUGUUCCUUGAGACAAUUUUCUAAAAC
Molecule: long non-coding RNA, 321 nt
Filed under: Capsella grandiflora
Lineage: Eukaryota; Viridiplantae; Streptophyta; Magnoliopsida; Brassicales; Brassicaceae
Description: long non-coding RNA (CGRA_LNC000675)
Source: RNAcentral